Molecule: unclassified non-coding RNA, 290 nt
Filed under: Hevea brasiliensis (rubber tree)
Lineage: Eukaryota; Viridiplantae; Streptophyta; Magnoliopsida; Malpighiales; Euphorbiaceae
Source: RNAcentral
UUCAUCCUCUGCAUCCCCUCAGCAUAAUGAAAAAGAAGCAUCUCAGUCCCAAAGCAAACCGGGAAGCACAAAAGAAAAUGGAGAAGUGAGUGAAAAAUGCGAAGCUUCAGUUUCUGCUGAUUCUCAGGGUCAAGAUGAAAAUGAUGAAUCAGGUCCUGAUUUGGCAUCCAAUGAUAACACAAAUGAAAAUGUCAAACGAAGAAGAAGACGUACUAAACAAGUUGUAUCUUCUGAUUCUGAUUCUGAUUUAGAUACGGAGGAUCUUUCUAGGGAUGACUUGGUGAAACUAG